UAAUUUUUAAGAUAGCAACAUGCCUUUAUUUAUUGGAUAAUUGAUGUUGGGGUUUGGUGCUAUCAACUUGACCUAUUGUUGCCAGUCCCCCCUAAAAAAAAUAAAAUUUAAUGCAUGUAUGAAUAAGCUACAUGACAUGUAACGAUGAAUUUGUUAAGUUUCGUUUUCCUCUAGGUUUUAAAACGAAAGUAAGAAAAACAUCUAAUAAAGAUUAAAUGUUUAAAGUAGGAUAAAAUCUUUUAUAAGGUGAUAAUUUUUAGAUGAAGAUAAAUUUACUCUUUUAAAU
RNAcentral lists this long non-coding RNA (286 nucleotides) under Gossypium raimondii (Peruvian cotton). RNAcentral's name for it is "long non-coding RNA (GRAI_LNC006189)". The record is from RNAcentral. Lineage: Eukaryota; Viridiplantae; Streptophyta; Magnoliopsida; Malvales; Malvaceae.